This 502-nucleotide ribosomal RNA is filed under the name uncultured organism. RNAcentral describes it as "SSU rRNA". It matches the Rfam family "Bacterial small subunit ribosomal RNA", at positions 26 to 509 of the family's 1533-position model. The record is from RNAcentral.
GACUCCGUGGCUCGAGGACGAACGCUGGCGGCGUGCCUAACACAUGCAAGUCGAACGAAGCACUUCACUCGGAGAUUCGUCGAAGAGUGAUUUGACUUAGUGGCGGACGGGUGAGUAAUGCGUGAGCAACCUGCCCUUCAGAGGGGGACAACAGUUGGAAACGACUGCUAAUACCGCAUAACAUCAUCGGGAGGCAUCUCCUGGUGAUCAAAGAUUUAUCGCUGAGGGAUGGGCUCACGUCUGAUUAGCUAGUUGGUGGGGUAACGGCCUACCAAGGCUGCGAUCAGUAGCCGGACUGAGAGGUUGAACGGCCACAUUGGGACUGAGAUACGGCCCAGACUCCUACGGGAGGCAGCAGUGGGGAAUAUUGGGCAAUGGGGCGAAAGCCUGACCCAGCAACGCCGCGUGAAGGAAGAAGGCCUUCGGGUUUGUAAACUUCUUUUAUGUAGGGACGAAGGACGUGACGGUACCUCAUGAAUAAAGCCACGGCUAACUACGUGCC